Molecule: long non-coding RNA, 2583 nt
Organism: Rhineura floridana
Lineage: Eukaryota; Metazoa; Chordata; Lepidosauria; Squamata; Rhineuridae
Exons: 5
Source: RefSeq, a predicted model, not a curated record
UCGGCGAGACAUGCAGGCUGGGAGCGCCGGAGGAGCCCCUCUUCGUGCGCGGCGAUGUUGGCGAGCGGGGCUGCGCGGGGGGAGCCUGGCGACAAAGUAAACCUGCGACUCAGUCUGCCUUCUUCAUCUCUCUGGUGCCUUGAAAACCUGAAUGCCCAGGAAGGGGGGAUACACCCUCCUGGAAGGAGAAGAGUUGGAAGGAAUCCUGACUGAGAGACAACCCUUGGCUGAUGAUGAAGACACAACUGCUUCAUGGAGACUGAAGUUUGGCUUUUAUUGGAAAUGGUAAGCUGCUGUGCGGAAGAAGUUCCUCGAAAAGAAAAUGGAAAUGGACUGCCUUCAAGUCGAUCCUGACCUAUGGCGACCCUAUGAAUAGGGUUUUCAUGUUAAGCGGUAUUCAGAGGUGGUUUACCAUUUCCUUCCUCGAAAAGUGAGGAAGGACCAGCCAUCAAGUAGUCUGCAGGAUCCACAACUACAAAAAGGAGUCUGUGGCAGAAUAGUCCCUGACAACAAAAGGAAUCCAGGAGCACAAACAAAUGAUGAAGCACCGAAAUCACCUUUAAAACAAAACCUCUUCUUAAGAAAACAAGGACAGAAGGCUAUAGCCAUCAUGACUUGUAGCCCUUGAGAGCCUUCUCUUCCAUGCAUCUAUCCAGCUUCCUUUUUCAAGCCAUCCGAGAUGAUCACUAGGAGAACUCACUGCCUGAUGGGCGACUCUCCCCUGGAUGACAUUACUCAGGAACAGAAAAAUGCUUCCAUUCCCAGACCAAAAGAGGUUCCACAGUACAGAUAAGCACUAACCUGCUGAGGUCUCCUCCUCUUCUUUGACGACCUGGAUAAACAGACUUUCUCCUUCUUCCUUACAGGAAGCGAGGUCUUGUUCUUUCAAGGAAACAGACAAGAGAACUUAUUUUUAACCACAACAUAAAAAGUCAGGGAUUCCAUAUCAAACCAGUUCUACAACCUCUAAGCUAAGAGGAGGAAGAAUUUUGAUUUUUAAUUCUGGGAGCGGGACAGGGAGAACCCCAUUUAGAAUCGAGGUAAAAGGGUGAGAACCCUUGCCACUGUGGAAGCAAAUUACCCCAAUAAAUGUUGCACCCAUUCAGAAGUAAGCCCCAAUGAGUCCAAUGGGACACCCUCCCUGGUAAAUGCAGAUUAAAUUAUACCAGGUGUGGGGAUCCUGUGGCCCACCAGAUGUUGCUGAACUCCCAUCACCCCAAUCAUUGGUCGUCCUUGCAGGAGCUGAUGGAAAUUGCAGUUCACCAACAUCUGGAGGGCCAAAGGUUCCCCUCCUCUUUUUAGGGGGUCAUCAUAUUAUUUUAUAUUAAAGGGCUGGGGCCAAGGGGGAGGAGGGGUGCGGUCUGAGGAGGAAAGGGAGGGAAUAAGGGCCUCAUUGAUACCCUGUCCCCAAGACCCCCCAAAAAAGCCUGGAGCCAGCCCGGCCCAUAGGGGCCAACUAGACACACAUGGGAGGCCCUCAAGCCAGAGAGAAAGGCAAGAGUGCAUCUCCUGCUGCUGUCCCCGACUCCGGAGGUGGCCCAUAAACAUCAGGACUGGGGCCCUUGAGAGCCUUCUUUUCCAUUUAUUUAUUUAGAUUUAUAUCCCACCCUUCUUCCCACUAGGAGCCCACAGUGGCAAACAAAACACUCAAAACAUUCUGAAACACAUAAUUAAAAACAGGGUUUAAAAUAUAUUAAAACAAAAACAUCUUAAAAAGUAAUUCCAACAUACACAGACUGGGCAUGAAGCCAUUUUUCUUAGCCCCUUUUAAAACAAUCCCAGAAAUCCACCAGGAGAACUCACAGCCUGAUGGGUGACUCUCCCCUGGAUGAUAUUACUCAGGAAUGGAAAAACGCUUCCAUUCCCAGACCAAAAGAGGCUCCGCAGCACAGCUAAGCACAGACCUGCUGAGGUCUCCUCCUCUUCUUUGGCGACCUGGAUAAACAGACUUUCUCCUUCUUCUUCUCCAUCUUCCAAACAGGAAUUGAGCUCCGAUUCUUCCAAGGAAACAGACCGGACUAUUACUUUUGACCACAAGAUAUUCAGCCAUUCCAAGUCAAGCCAUUUGUAGCUAAGAGGAGGGAUUGUUUGUUAACUCCUGCACCCCUUGAAGAGGAGAGGGCCGUGUGGUCCCAGCAGGGUCAGCCUGGCACUUGGGAACAUGCGCUCACUGGAUAUGAUGCCCAACCUGAACUGCCUGAUGGGGAGGGCACGGUGGAACUCAGCCAGCCCAGCUGUUUUCAUUUGGACAACAUCAUCUCGUCACAAAGAGAGUGAAAACCAGCCCUGACAGCUUCGCCCUCCUCCUCCUCCUCCUCCCAAAAGGAGUCAGGGCUGCGCUUCACAUUUACACUUCUGGAGGAAACCUUUCUCCAUGGAGAUUAAGAGUGAAGCCACCGCAAGAUAUUUGUGUAGCCAGGAAUGCUCCCAUAAGCUUUUCAGUGUCAUAGGUUGAGAAUGUACAUGCAAAUAUCAAUGCUGGCAUCGGGAAGAGACAGAAAAGGGCCAGAGUAUAUGGUUUCGAUCUCUGAAAGGGAAAUGAUGGUGUGUUGCGUAUAAAUAAAUGCUCCCUUCCUAAAUGCA